CAGAAUUAUUAUCCGGGCUGUUCCCUGGAGCCUGGAGUGGAGUGGAGUGGAUAAGCUGUAACGGCUGCAUCAUAAACCAGCCCAGCAAUGCUUAGCAGCUUCGCAGGCAGGCGUGCUGUCAUUGCCUUCGCUCCGUGGGGAGCACUAAUUGUAGCACUUGCUGCAGUCCCCUACAGCUUCCUGACGGAAUGCCAAUUUCAGGCGAGAACUAAUUUAUCAAUGGCUGUAGUGGCUAAAGAGAAUGCAUCCCCUGUCAUGUUCCAGGCUGCGGUGUUUCUCAAGUAGUUGUGUUGCUCUCGCAAGUAACGUGUGUUAGCGGAGUAUUUCUGCAAUAAGCAGGCGGGUCCUGUAGGCUUCUAGACUUAUUAGAUAACAGUUGUUCAACAUUAAUCUAUUUUAAUGAAGUUCCUGACCUUCUUCCUCGGUAGGCUGGAUGGCCAGCUGUCUGCUCAAACACCCAGAGGAUAUUUGUGCAUCUUUCACCCCAUCAGCCUGCUCCUGCAGGACCUGAAUUUAUGUUGCUUGGGCUGUAAACCCCCU
RNAcentral lists this long non-coding RNA (540 nucleotides) under Gallus gallus (chicken). The record is from RNAcentral. Lineage: Eukaryota; Metazoa; Chordata; Aves; Galliformes; Phasianidae.